This 1390-nucleotide long non-coding RNA is filed under the name Anser cygnoides (Swan goose). RNAcentral describes it as "lncRNA (ENSACDG00005011884.1)". The record is from RNAcentral. Lineage: Eukaryota; Metazoa; Chordata; Aves; Anseriformes; Anatidae.
AUGGAAGAGAGUGGACGGGGAAAGGUGCACCCAGCUUGUUUCUCUGUUUCUCACCGCUCCAGCCUGUCAGCAACAGAGCUUCGCAGAGCCUGUCUUCAGAUUAACAGUCUUGGUCCCUUGCCGGCCAUACCGAGACAACCCACCUUCCCCGACGGGACAGCUGAAAUCAGCGGGGUGCACCUUCCUGUCUGUGGUGGCAAGAAAUCUUCGGCAGGUGACAAGAUCCCGGACGUGGCCCCAAAUUGUGAGAAAAAUCUCAAUAAUUUUCUUCAGACGGGAUCUUCUGCGAAGCUAUUUUAUUCACGAUUGCAAUGUCGGGCGUCCUGUCAAUUAGGAGUGCAUUUUAGUAAACAAAUCAUAACCUUUUAUUCCCUAUUACCUGACACCUGAUCACCUCCCCUGUUUCCUCAUUGGCUGAGUACUACAGGUUCACAAGCUACUAAGCACUUCUCUAUACCAUAUAUGUGCAAUUUUUCUUUUUUUUUCAACCCUUUAACUUCUCCUUUUUCCCUUUUAUUUCCCUUUCUUAUGUUUUGAGAACUUGUGAUCUUUGUUUUACUGUUCUCACGCUGCUCAUCCUGUUUUUCUCAAGGUUCCACCUUAUUUUGGAACAGUGAGGCCUUCUACUGUCCACUUAUCUACUUAGCAUUUCUCCUUGUUAUGACUACACAACUACCUUGGAAUACAGAAAAUUAGUUCUCUACUGCAAAAACACAACUUAGUUUCUCACACAUAGGCAGGGCCAUUGUCGGUUUUUAUUUCCUUUGGGAUGCCUUGCGCUGCGACAGCGACACAGAAGUGAGCCUGGACAUGGCGACUAGUUUCACCCGCUGCAGCUGUCGCCCAAAUAGCAUGAGAGAAAGUAUCUACCGAUACGUGAACAUAUUUCAAGCGACCAAAUUCUGGAAUAUGCAUUACGUCUGUCUGCCAUAACUGUAAGGACCGUAGUCCUCUAGGGUUUACCGUUAAAGACGGGGUCGAAACAUGUUGUUGACAGUCAGGACAUGUUUGGACAAUCAAUUUGGCAUCAGUGAUCGAUAUAGCGAAUUGUUUCGCCAAGACUUUGGCAGAUUGAUGGAAAAAGGCAUGGGAUAACCAUGCUUGCUCCAGCCCCUUAGGCACCGGGGCAGUCAGGGUCAUAUUAGCUGGUCAGCACGUGCGUUACCCUCUGCAAAAACACUGGGUAACAUGGUGUGGCUCCGCAUGUGAAUAAUACAAUACAGGUGCACUCACUGCUCUACCAAAAAUAACAGCUCCUUAAAUUUUAGAAACAAGUUUUCCCUUGGGAUAUGUCUCAAAUGUGCCCUCUCAAUGCACUGAGCGACACCUACAGCAUAUUGCGAGUCCGACACAAUAUUCAAAGGUACUGUUGGCCAGCGCUUGAAAGCCA